This 372-nucleotide RNase P RNA is filed under the name Acutalibacter sp. Its description in RNAcentral is "RNase P RNA component class A". It matches the Rfam family "Bacterial RNase P class A". Rfam says of the family: Ribonuclease P (RNase P) is a ubiquitous endoribonuclease, found in archaea, bacteria and eukarya as well as chloroplasts and mitochondria. Lineage: Bacteria; Bacillati; Bacillota; Clostridia; Eubacteriales; Acutalibacteraceae. The record is from RNAcentral.
UGAGCAAGCCGGGCAGUUGCGGGCGCGAGGCGAAAGCGCGCGUCUGAGGAAAGUCCGAGCUUCAUAGGGCAAGGAUAACGGCUAACCGCCGCCGGGGGCGACCCCAGGGAAAGUGCAACAGAGAUAUACCGCCAAAAGCCUGCGUUAGUGCAGUCUUUGGUAAGGAUGGAAAGGCGAGGUAAGAGCUCACCGGCGCAGGGGGAACCCUGCGGCCCUGUAAACCCUAUCCGAAGCAACACCGUGGAGGAGCGUCCCUUUAGUGGGAAAGCGUGGCCCGCGCGCUCUGUGGAGGUGGCGUGAGCCUGUUGGUAACGGCAGGCCAAGAUAGAUGACUGCUCAAGACAGAACUCGGCUUAUAGACUUGGUCACAUU